GGCUAACUCCGUGCCAGCAGCCGCGGUAAUACGGAGGGUGCGAGCGUUAAUCGGAAUUACUGGGCGUAAAGGGUGCGUAGGUGGUUGAUUAAGUUAUCUGUGAAAUUCCUGGGCUUAACCUGGGACGGUCAGAUAAUACUGGUUGACUCGAGUAUGGGAGAGGGUAGUGGAAUUUCCGGUGUAGCGGUGAAAUGCGUAGAGAUCGGAAGGAACACCAGUGGCGAAGGCGGCUACCUGGCCUAAUACUGACACUGAGGCACGAAAGCGUGGGGAGCAAACAGGAUUAGAUACCCUGGUAGUCCACGCUGUAAACGAUGUCAACUAGCUGUUG
RNAcentral lists this ribosomal RNA (331 nucleotides) under uncultured Legionella sp. RNAcentral's name for it is "bacterial SSU rRNA". It matches the Rfam family "Bacterial small subunit ribosomal RNA", at positions 495 to 825 of the family's 1533-position model. Lineage: Bacteria; Pseudomonadati; Pseudomonadota; Gammaproteobacteria; Legionellales; Legionellaceae. The record is from RNAcentral.